Molecule: long non-coding RNA, 3859 nt
Filed under: Homo sapiens (human)
Lineage: Eukaryota; Metazoa; Chordata; Mammalia; Primates; Hominidae
Description: HSALNT0363723
Source: RNAcentral
GCCAAAGCUGGCCUAGGGUGUGGAGAGGAGCCUCCCCAGGGUCUGCACUCCUCCUCCCAUUUGCAGCCUUCGUAAGUGGACACUUCCAACCCCUACACCUGCCUGUCCUCCCAGUCCAGCCUUGGCCCGAGAUGUGAUCUAAUUCUCACUAUGCUGCUGUGGGCAGAGCACAUGGCAUCAGAAUGCUAGGAGCUGCUGUCGGGCGCCAUGGGAGGGAAUUCCCCAACUCAGGAAAGCUCUUCCAGCGGAAAGGAGCAGGUGGCGAGCCUCCCUGAAGAGACAGACACUGCCAACGCUACAGGCAGAGCCAAUCGUGGGGUGGCUAACAAAUUUUUCCAGCAACACAGAGCUGAGAGGAUUGGGAUCUCAGAGAAGAAGGAGCCCUGCAUUCUUGGCUUCAUCUGCCUGGAGUGGAGUUUCCAUCAUGCUGAGCUGGAGGUGCACGGGGCCAGGGAAUGAGCAAGUCGUAGCUCAAAUGUCCCAGACUCUUACUAUUCUUAUUGAAAUUUAGUAGGUUUUCUUGAAUAAAUGUUUCUUCAUCUGCUGUAUGCCCUUAGGACAAUUCCCAGGAACAUACAUCUAUAUUGAUAUCAAUAUAAAUAUAAAUAGAUAAUUAUGUAUGUAUAACUUUAGCAGUUUUACUUGUUCUGCUGGAAAGAAGGUCUGGAAGGUUUGCAGAGCUGCUCAUGCCACCAUUCCAGAAGUUAUCCACCAGUUCAUUGCUUUUUGCACAGUAGUAUUCCAUUGCAUGUCUAUGCCACAAUUUGUUUAUCCAUUCACCUGUUGAUGGACAUUUGAGCUGUUUCCUGUUUGAGGCUAUUACAAAUAAAGCUGCUUUACAAAUAAAGCUGCUUUGAACAUUUGUGUAUAAGUCUUUGGACAUAUGCUUUGAUUUAUCUUGAGUAAAUAUCUAGAAGUGGAGUGGCUGGGUUAUAUGGUAGGUUUGUGUUUUAAUUUUUAAGAAGCUGCUAAGAUGUCUUCCAAAGUGAUUCCCCCAUUAUGCACUCCUGCCAGCAGUGUGUGAGAGUUCCAGUUUCUCCAGAUUCUCACCAACACCUGGUAUGGUCAGUCUUUUUAAUGUUAGCCAUUCUAAUAGAUGUGUAGUGGUAUCUCAUUGUGGUUUUAAUUUUCAUUUUCCUAAUAGGUAAUGAUGUGUUUGAGCAUUUUUUCAUGUGCCUAUUUACUAUCCAUACACCUACUUGGUGAAAUAUCUGUUCAAAUCUUUUGCCUCCUUUCUUUUUUCAUAAUUGGGUGGUUUGUUUUCUUAUUAUUGAGUUUUGAGAGUUCUUUCUAUAUUGCAGAUACAAAUUUUUCUUGGAUAUGUGUACUGCAAUAGUUUCUCCCAGUUAGUAGCAUGUCUUUUCAUUCUCCUAACGGUUUCUUUCAAAAGGCAAAUGUUCUUAAUUUUGAUGAAGUCCAAUUUACAAAUAUUUUUCCUUUACAGAUCAUGUUUCUGGUAUUAUAUUUAUAAAAUCUUUGCCUAACUCGAGGUCACGAAGAUUUUGUUUUAUUGUUUAGUGUUCUCUCCUUCCAAUUUUUGGUUCCCAUUGUGUGUAUGGUUUUAUAUCUUGCUUUUUUUCCCAAAAAAACUUUAAAAAAUUUAAAUCCAUGGAAAAAUUGAAAGAUUAGUAUCAUGAACAAUGGCAUACUUUUUGCCUACAAGCAUCAAUUGUUAAUACCUUGCUACAUUUGCUAUAUCUCCCUGGAUACCUUUAAGUUGCAGGAUUUUGUAACACUGACUUUUUGCAAGGUCUAGGAAACCCAUCCUGAAAAUGUUCUUUAAAAAACAUCAACAGCAGCCUGUGCCAUUUUCUGCGAUAACAAAGGUCGUACUUGCCCAGUGUAGAGGACUGGGAAAAAACAGAGCAGCAAAAGAAGAAAAUAAAACUGUUCCCUCCCCCUAUUCCAACCCCAUGAUACCAGGAAAGCCACUUACCUGAGAGGUGGGUAGGAAGGACACACAGAGCUCAGAUACCACCUGAAAUUUGGGGUGCAAAUCCCUGACUCCCAUGGCAGCCCCCUAUCCUGGGAUCACUUUCUGCAGAAGAGCCCUCUGCUGGGAAGCUGAGGCCAGGAUCUCCGCAGCCGACCUUGAGCCUGCUCCACCCUCUCUGGGCUUAGCUGGUAAAGUAGAUAACAAGGUGGCUUGGCUUCUGUCCCAGGACACUAUUUGUAUCUUUACCGUGGUUACUUCUUAUUGUGAACAGGCUGGGCACCCCUGUCUCCAGCACCCCACCUCCAAGCAGGCCUAUCCCAGCUGCUUUUGCCUGGAAUAGCUCCUCCUUUACCAGCCUCCAUCCUUCAAAGCCCAGCUCAGGGUUGCUCCCCACCAAACCUCCCUUGACAUCACCCCACCAUUAGAGUUAGCUUGUCUCUCCCUGUAUCCUUGCAGCAAAUCACUCAUCUGUUGUGGGAGAGGCCUGUGCUGGAACUGCUGUACACUCCUAUCUCACUCAAGCCUCAUAACAACCCUCAAGAGAGGUUAUCAGGGCCAUUUUGAAGGUAAGGAGACUCAUCCUCAAUGCAUAGGGCUAGGUCAGUCACCUCAAGUUAGGGCAGAGCUAGGUUCACUCAGACCCCUGUCUCUGCCUUUAGAGACGUUGAUGCCCUUGUUGCAACCCCAGUGGCUUGUGUGCACAGAGAUCAGGGCUGCGUUUGAUGUAUCUGGGCCCUGGAUGCCCCCGUCUCCUACCCAUCUCUCCUCUUGUUUCAGAUGCAGCCAGCUGUAGGGUUGCCUUUUCCAAUGCAGCCUUCCCUCACUCCCACUGAGAGUAACUGCUCCUUUUCUGCACAUCCUCAUGCCCCAGAAUCAAUGGCCUGACUCUUCUGCUUCUCCAACCAUACUCAGACAUCCUCCUCCAAGUGCCCAGGCCGUGGUCCUGCACAUGGAUCCUUAAUCAGCUUUGUUCAAUGUAUUUUAAUAUUUAUUUUAAUUUGCUUGCAUUAUCUUUCUUUCUAUUAAUAUUCAUUAUUUUUCUUUACCUUCUUUUAUAAUGUUGGUUUUUUAUCCCAUUGAUACAUGUCCAAAUUGUAAAAAAUUUAGGAAAGAAUAAAAAUCACCCCAAAUUGUUAUAGAUAAUCAUAUUAACAUUUUGGUAGAUUAUUAUUUUUUGGGUCUGGUUUCUGUAGAUGUAUGCAUUUUACAGAGUUGAGAUUACAUUGUAUGAAUAGUUCUAAAGACUGCUUUUAAAAAUCUAACAUUAUACCAUGGAUAUUUUCCCCAUGUCAUUAAAAAGUACAUGUGCCACACCCACUGGGAAGGCUCUGAUAAAGAAGACAGAUAAUAACAAAAUGUGGCGAAUCGGAACCUUCAUACAAUGCUGGUGGGAAUGUAACAUGGUACAGCCCCUUUGGAAAACAGUUUGGAGGUCCCUCAAAUAGGUAAGCAUAGGGUUACCAUAAGACCCAGAAGUUUCACUGCUAGGUAUAUAUUCAAGAGAAAUAAAAACAUGUGUCCACACACAAAACUUGUACAGAAUGUUCAUAGCAGCAUUAUUUAUAAUAGCUUAAAAAAUUGAAACAACAUAAAUGUCCACCAAUGAAUGAAUGGAUCAAUGAAAUGUGAUAUAUCCACACAAUGGAAUAUGAUUCAGUCACAAAAAGGAAUGAAGUACUGAUACAUACUACAACAUAGAUGGACCUUAAAAACAUUAUGCUAAAUCAAAGAAGCCAGACGCAGAAGAUCACAUAUUGUAUGACUCCACUCAUACAAAAUAUCUAGAAUAGACAAAUCUAUAGAGACAGAAAGUAAAUGUAUAGGCUGGGGGAUGGGGAGGUCUGGGGAGAAAUGAAGAGUGUCAGCUAAUGGGCAUGGAGUUUUGUUAGGGGGAGAUGAAAAUGUUAUAAAAUUGACUGUGCU